RNAcentral lists this ribosomal RNA (960 nucleotides) under Aspergillus penicillioides. RNAcentral's name for it is "eukaryotic LSU rRNA". The stretch from base 570 to 960 matches the Rfam family "Eukaryotic large subunit ribosomal RNA", at positions 1 to 398 of the family's 3401-position model. The record is from RNAcentral. Lineage: Eukaryota; Fungi; Ascomycota; Eurotiomycetes; Eurotiales; Aspergillaceae.
AUGUCCGUCUUGAUCCUGCACAAUGGAUCAUUACCGCAGUGUUUGGAUGCCCCUUCUCGGGGUGUCCGUCCUCCCAUCCGUGUCUAUUUGUACCCUGUUGCUUCGGCGGGCCCGCCCUUCGUGGCCGCCGGGGGGCUUCCCUGCCCCCGGGCCCGUGCCCGCCGGAGACCUCAACCAUGAACACUGUCUGAAGGUUGCAGUCUGAGUACCGAUAUAAAAAAUCGUUAAAACUUUCAACAACGGAUCUCUUGGUUCCGGCAUCGAUGAAGAACGCAGCGAAAUGCGAUACGUAAUGUGAAUUGCAGAAUUCAGUGAAUCAUCGAGUCUUUGAACGCACAUUGCGCCCCCUGGUAUUCCGGGGGGCAUGCCUGUCCGAGCGUCAUUGCUGCCCUCAAGCACGGCUUGUGUGUUGGGCCCCCGUCCCCCUCCCAGGAAGGGGACGGGCCCGAAAGGCAGCGGCGGCACCGUGUCCGGUCCUCGAGCGUAUGGGAAGCAACUUUUUUGUCACCCGCUCCUGUAGGUCCGGCCGGCGGCCUGCCCAACCCCAACCUUCUUUUUUUUAACCAGGUUGACCUCGGAUCAGGUAGGGAUACCCGCUGAACUUAAGCAUAUCAAUAAGCGGAGGAAAAGAAACCAACCGGGAUUGCCUCAGUAACGGCGAGUGAAGCGGCAAGAGCUCAAAUUUGAAAUCUGGCCCCUCCGGGGUCCGAGUUGUAAUUUGUAGAGGAUGCUUCGGGUGCGGCCCCUGUCUAAGUGCCCUGGAACGGGCCAUCGGAGAGGGUGAGAAUCCCGUCUGGGAUGGGGGUGUCCGUGCCCGUGUGAAGCUCCUUCGACGAGUCGAGUUGUUUGGGAUGCAGCUCUAAUGGGUGGUAAAUUCAUCUAAGCUAAUACUGCGAGAUCGAUGGCGCACAAGUAGAGUGAUCGAAGAUGAAAGUCACUUGCAAAGAGAGUUAAACGCAC